RNAcentral lists this ribosomal RNA (434 nucleotides) under uncultured bacterium. Its description in RNAcentral is "partial 16S ribosomal RNA". It matches the Rfam family "Bacterial small subunit ribosomal RNA", at positions 29 to 507 of the family's 1533-position model. The record is from RNAcentral.
AGCGAACGCUGGCGGCAGGCCUAACACAUGCAAGUCGAACGAACCUUUCGGGGUUAGUGGCGGACGGGUGAGUAACACGUGGGAACGUGCCUUUAGGUUCGGAAUAACUCAGGGAAACUUGUGCUAAUACCGUAUGUGCCCUUCGGGGGAAAGAUUUAUCGCCUUUAGAGCGGCCCGCGUCUGAUUAGCUAGUUGGUUGAGGUAAUGGCUCACCAAGGCGACGAUCAGUAGCUGGUCUGAGAGGAUGAUCAGCCACAUUGGGACUGAGACACGGCCCAAACUCCUACGGGAGGCAGCAGUGGGGAAUCUUGCGCAAUGGGCGAAAGCCUGACGCAGCCAUGCCGCGUGAAUGAUGAAGGUCUUAGGAUUGUAAAAUUCUUUCACCGGGGACGAUAAUGACGGUACCCGGAGAAGAAGCCCCGGCUAACUUCGUG